Molecule: ribosomal RNA, 120 nt
Filed under: Salmo salar (Atlantic salmon)
Lineage: Eukaryota; Metazoa; Chordata; Actinopteri; Salmoniformes; Salmonidae
Source: RNAcentral
GCUUACGGCCAUGUCAGCCUGGGUACGCCCCGAUCUCGUCUGAUCUCGGAAGCUAAGCAGGGUCGGGCCUGGUUAGUACUUGGAUGGGAGACCGCCUGGGAAUACCAGGUGCUGUAAGCA